This is a long non-coding RNA of Gallus gallus (chicken), 1605 nucleotides long. RefSeq lists it as uncharacterized. Lineage: Eukaryota; Metazoa; Chordata; Aves; Galliformes; Phasianidae. The transcript has 2 exons. The record is from RefSeq and is a predicted model, not a curated record.
UCUGCAUCUCUCGUUGCUGUGUUGGUGCUGGGAGCAUUGCUGCGGGAUGGGGUGUGGGGUCCUGGGGCACGGCGUGGUGCUCUGAGUGUGGGGCAUGGGGUCCCAGUGCAUGUUGCAGUGCUCAGAGCAUCCCUGUAGGAUGGUGCACUGGGUCCUAGUGCAUGUUGCAACGCUUGGUGCAACCCUGCAGGGUGGUGCAUGGGGUUGCAGUGCUCGUUGCAACACAGAGCAUCCCUGCAGGGCGAUGCAUGGGGUCCUGGUGCAUGUUGCAACACAGAGCAUCCCUGCAGGGUGAUGCAUGGGGUCGCAGUGCUCAUUGCAACACAGAGCAUCCCUGCAGGGCGAUGCAUAAGGUCCCAGUGCACGUUGCAGUACUCAGAGCAUCCCUGCAGGGUGAUGCAUGGGAUCCCAAUGCUCACUGCAACACAGCAACCCUGCAGGGUGAUGCAUGAGGUCCCAGUCCAUGUUGCAAUGCUUGGUGCAUCCCUGCAGGGUGGUGCAUGAGGUCCUGGUGCAUGUUGCAGUGCUCAGAGCAACCUUGCAGGGUGAUGCAUGAGGUCCCAGUGCACGUUGCAAUGCUUGGUGCAACCCUGCAAGGUGAUGCAUGGUGUCCCAAUGCUCGUUGCAACACAGAGCAUCCCUGCAGGGCGAUGCAUGGGAUCCCAGUGCACGUUGCAAUGCUCUGAGCAACCUUGCAGGGUGAUGCAUGGGAUCCCAAUGCUCGUUGCAACACAGCAUCCCUGCAGGGUGAUGCAUGAGGUCCCAGUGCAUGUUGCAGUGCUCAGAGCAUCACUGCAGGGUGAUGCAUGGAGUCCCAGUGCAUGUUGCAAUGCUUGGUGCAACCCUGUAGGAUGCUGCAUGGGGUUGCAGUGCUUGUUGCAACACAGAGCAUCCCUGCAGGGUGAUGCAUGGGGUCCCAGUGCAUGUUGCAGUGCUCAGAGCAUCCCUACAGGGUGAUGCAUGGGAUCCCAGUGCAUGUUGCAAUGCUUGGUGCAACCCUGUAGGAUGCUGCAUGGGGUCGCAGUGCUCAUUGCAACACAGAGCAUCCCUGCAGGGUGAUGCAUGAGGUCCCAGUCCAUGUUGCAAUGCUUGGUGCAUCCCUGCAGGGUGAUGCAUGGGGUCCCAACGCAUGUUGCAACACAGAGCAUCCCUGCAGGGUGGUGCAUGAGGUCCCAGUGCAUAGGGUUGCAGUGCUCUGAGCAACCCUGCAGGGUGAUGCAUGGGGUCCUGGUGCAUGUUGCAAUGCUUGGUGCAUCCCUGCAGGGUGCUGCAUGGGAUCCCAAUGCACAUUGCAGCACAGAGCAUCCCUGCAGGGUGAUGCAUGGGGUCCCAGUGCACAUUGCAGUGCUCUGAGCAACCCUGCAGGGUGAUGCAUGGGGUCCUGGUGCAUGUUGCAAUGCUUGGUGCAACCCUGCAAGGUGAUGCACGGGGUCCCAGUGCAUGUUGCAAUGCUUGGUGCAACCCUGUAGGAUGCUGCAUGGGGUUGCAGUGCUUGUUGCAACACAGAGCAUCCCUGUAGGAUGGUGCACUGGGUCCUAGUGCAUGUUGCAGUGCUUGGUGCAACCCUGCAGGAUGAUGCAUGAGGUCCUGGUGCAUGUUGCAGUG